This is a long non-coding RNA of Oreochromis aureus, 789 nucleotides long. RefSeq lists it as uncharacterized. The transcript is spliced from 2 exons. The record is from RefSeq and is a predicted model, not a curated record. Lineage: Eukaryota; Metazoa; Chordata; Actinopteri; Cichliformes; Cichlidae.
CAACCUCUCAGCAACGCACAUCACAACACUGCAAGAACAGUUAAAGCCUCACUUCAGGGUGUUGCUCGCUGUGGCGACGGCAACAGAUGGAACAGCAGCAGCAGCAGGGCAGAGCCUGAGGGGACAGCUACAGCUUCAUUGUUGCGCACCACUGUUCCUGGCCUUUCUCGCUGAGCCCAGGCCUAGUCACGGCAUCUCCAGCUUCUGCUUCCAGCCAGACCACGGCUUCAUGGCUCGCUCCUCUCCAAUCAUGACACCAAGCAUGGUGGGAUAUCUGCCAGCUAAAUAAAUUUUCAUCUGCUCUCAGUAACUCUCAAAUAAUAAUAUCCCUCAAGCAUUAAUUACCCUUUGGGAAAUUGAUCAAAAUCAUGUUAGAUUAAACAUUUUGCAAAAAGGGAGGCAGCACAGAGGAGACACACAUGACCUUGAACCACCAUUCUACACAGUUUCACAGACAACAAAGGCACCUCUAAUCAUGACCGUAGAAAAUUAUGUACAUACAGAUUCAUGUUCAUACUCAGUGCUGCAGGGGCUGGCUUUUUGCUGGGUAUAUGCCUAAUGCUGUCGGCAUGAAGUCUCUGUGAGAAACUCUGCAGCUUUGCCAGACAGCUGCAUAAGGAAAGGGUGAUGCUCUUGUGAUCAUGCCAGGUGCCCUCCUUACUACCAGCUGGGCAGUUUAAGAAAUGUUAACUCACAUAGUUCAGCUACAACAGAAGAAAAAAAAAAAAAAAAUGAAAACAGCACAACAAAUUUUCAUUUCACAAAAAUAAACUGCAUCAUUAAUCUCUA